GUGGGGAAUAUUGGACAAUGGGCGAAAGCCUGAUCCAGCCAUGCCGCGUGUGUGAAGAAGGUCUUCGGAUUGUAAAGCACUUUAAGUUGGGAGGAAGGGCAGUAAGUUAAUACCUUGCUGUUUUGACGUUACCGACAGAAUAAGCACCGGCUAACUUCGUGCCAGCAGCCGCGGUAAUACGAAGGGUGCAAGCGUUAAUCGGAAUUACUGGGCGUAAAGCGAGCGUAGGUGGUUUUGUAAGUUGGAGGUGAAAUCCCCGGGCUCAACCUGGGAACUGCCUCCAAAACUGCAUGACUCGAGUACGGUAGAGGGUAGUGGAAUUUCCUGUGUAGCGGUGAAAUGCGUAGAUAUAGGAAGGAACACCAGUGGCGAAGGCGACUACCUGGACUGAUACUGACACUGAGGUGCGAAAGCGUGGGGAGCAAACAGGAUUAGAUACGCGGGUAGUCC
This 450-nucleotide ribosomal RNA is filed under the name uncultured bacterium. RNAcentral's name for it is "partial 16S ribosomal RNA". It matches the Rfam family "Bacterial small subunit ribosomal RNA", at positions 354 to 796 of the family's 1533-position model. The record is from RNAcentral.